GUAUACGUCUAAAUUAUAUUUGGGCUUUAGGUUAUAAUAUUCUAGCCAUUCCUAUUGCUGCUGGCAUACUUUUUCCUUCUACUAAAUUUAGGUUACCACCUUGGAUUGCUGGAGCUGCAAUGGCUGCUUCUUCUAUCAGUGUUGUUUGCUCUUCUCUCUUGUUGAAGAAAUACAAGAAACCAACCAAGCUUAACAACUUGGAGAUGAAUGGUAUUCAAAUUGAAUGAUCAACUUGUCAUUUGUAAAUUUGUAAGUAUAAUAAUUAGUCUUGUUUGUUGGGAGCAACAUUUUGUUAUGUUGCAAUUGUAAUUUCAAUGUAAAUGAAAAAGUAGUUUUUUCUAUUAAAAAAAAAGUAAUUAGUUUUAGUAAAACAAGAUGUUUAAUUUCAAUAUUGAUCUUGAAUACGAAGAAUAUUGGAUUUUUUUUUUUUAAGAAAAGAUGUUUAUAGUAUUUCUUAUAGUAAGUUGUUCAACAAAUGUAGAUACAUCAAUGUAAAUAUGAAAAUUUGCUAGAGAUCUGGUCAUCCGCGGUGAAACAUGAACGGUUUCAUUUGUUUGUCUAUAGUAAACUUAAUAGGAGAGUUUUUCAAAUGGGAGAAGAAAAAACGAUCACACUUAUUAUUAAUGUCUUCAAAUUCAGCAAUGUCGUUCUUAUCACUAUUAAGAUCAACCACUUUUUUGGCUUAGUGUAAAGUCCAAUGGUCUCAGAUGCAAUUCAAGAACCCAAGUGAUUGCAUGUAGAAGGCCAAGGCUUCCCUUAUAUCUACACUACGUAUAGGCGAAAUCCAAACUGUUUUUGUGGGAACAAAUUGGUCAUCUACAUCACGAAUGCAAAUGUCAAUCCCAAAUUGAUUUUGAUGUGAAGAGAAUGACACGUCAAUGUUGCAUUUGUAGCACCCCGUUGUUGGUUUCAUCCAAUUUGUAUCAACUAUAAUGAGGGAUACGUGAAGUUAUAUCAUAAUCUUAGAAAAUAUACAUUCAACCAAUAGUAAUCAUUGAAUGAAUAGUUAACAAAGUCUAAACUUUGAUUUAGAAUUCUUUCAAACUAAUAGAAUAGUCUAAACUAAUGUGCGGCCUAUGUGGUUUCGUAAUUUAUUUUUGAUAAACGCGGAAAUACGUAUUAUUGUGUUGAGGAUUUUGAAAUCAUCUUUUAUCAUACAUGCCAAAUCAUUUUCUCCUUAGAUGAUCUUUUAGUUUCCUUGUGUCGAUUACCCCUAUGAAUCUUGCAAAGUUGAACGAUUUUCCUUCCUUGUUUCGCUUCUUUGGCAUGAACACGUCAACCAAAGCUCCAUAUUGUUGGAAGGGUUACAUAAUAUCCUACAAGUAUCCUCGAGAACAUUGGUGAAAUAACACGUGGUGAUGUCAUCGUAUCAGUUAAUUUUGUUAUAUGUCUCUCUCUUCCUCCCUCCCUCCCUCAUCAUAGAUACAUAUCUAGAAUAUGCAUCUAGGAUAUAUGGGAGAAAUUAGAGACUGAAUAAGCCAACAUUAAAUCAGACUUAUGUUGAGUUCUUUUAAAAACUUUUGCGUUGAUAUCCAAGCUUUGUCUUUUAUAAAAUUGUGUAUCAACUUCGUAGCAGUAGUACCAAAGUUAGCGCGUAACCGUAUACACCACAAAAUCCAUAAGUUAAUUAAUUAUUUUAAACUUUUUGGCAUCUCGUGCUUUCCGGGAAUCGCAAGUCAUCAUAAGUUAAUUAAUUAACGGGUCAUUUCAAUUUGUAUCCUAAGAUCCAAAAAUAAAAGUUUUACGUUUAAAAAAAACAAAUAUUUUUUUAGAGGCUCUUAUCAAUAAGAUCAAAAAAUUAACGGGUUAUUUCAAUUUGUUAUUCAUUUGAUACGAAUCUUUUUAAAUAAAGGCAUGUAGCCUCUUCAUUUUUAAAUACAUGUCACUGUCAAUUUUUAUACAAUGUCAAUAUACAAUUUUGAUCAAUAAUAGAUUUAUUUAUUUAUAAUUCUUUUUUAUAUUUGAAGAUAUUCAUCGAAAAAAUAAAACAACAUUUUAUAUGCUAACAUUUAUAUUUUUAUAUUAGUUAAAAAUAUUGUUAAAGCAAAUUUCCUGGAUAAUAUACUUUAUAAAAAUGCGACGUAUCUUUGGAAAUGAAUGAAAUAUCACUAAAGUACAUUGACAUAUUCCUUCGUUAAUAACUUAUAUACGUCAAUUCUACCAAAAAAAAAAAAACUUAUAUACGUCAAUUAUCAUGUCGUGAGGUAGUUUUCCUCACAUUAUUAUACUAACAAAUACUCCAUUAAUUUUAAAAUGAAUGAAAGAAUAUUUAUUUUGCCUAAUUAUUGAUGUCUUUUAAUUUCACUAUCAUAAUUUAAAAGUUAAAUAUGUUUUUAAUCCUUACAAAAUUACAAAUUUUCAAGUUUAGUUUAUAUAUUAUUUUAAUAUUACUUUAUAAUAUUGUAGUUGUAAGUACCUUAUUUUAAUUUAUUUAUUUUUAAUAAAAAAUAGAUACUUUUAGUCUUCCAAAAUAGUCUUUAUAAAAUAUAAAUAAGACUAAAAAUAAAUAUUUUUUUUUUCAAAACUAAACUUAAAAACUUACAAUUUUAAUUUGCAAGAACCUAUUUAACUCUAAAUUUAAACUAGAAGUCAUAUUUUGGUUUUAGCAGCAAAAGAAAUAAGUAAUAUUUGGGAGUUCUGAACAUAGAUGGUACAAUUGAAAAGAAUUAAUACUGUAUCGAAAAUAAUUAGCCUUAUUCAUUUUAAAAUAACUUUUUUGUUAAAAAGAAUAUAGAUAUGGAAAAUUCUAUGGUGAAAUUAUGAGAAUGACUUUUCUGGUGAAGUCAACACUAUAGUAUUAAAAGUGUAGUGAGUAGCACCCCACUGUUUAUAAAGUUCAGUCUUCAUAGUAUCAUCAAUUCAUCAGAUUAACAAGACUGCACUUAAUCUAAUUUUAUCAUACCUUGUUUUAAGGGUAACAUUCCAAAAAGUGUAACACUUAAGACUAUCGCAUAAUAUCAUCAACUAUGUUUGCAUGUUAAAGAUGUCAACGAUAAAAUAGUACAUGUAAGUCCAAGAUGUUGCAAGCAUUACUAGAUGAAUUACUAUUGAUCAUUAAUCAGCAAUCAAAUUUAAAAAUGAAUCGAAUAGUAAGAUCAAAAUUAACUUUUUCAAAAAAGUCAGUUUUCUGACUGCACUGUAGAAGCUCCCGAUAGAUAUAUCUUUUUGCAAGGUAUAAAGAUAAGUUUUUUAAAAUAAAAAAAAAAUAAGCUAAAUGUUGAUAAAUAUCUUUAGGGCAUUGGUUAAACAUCUAAAAAUAGUAAUUUAACAUUAAAAGUUAUAUAGUUAUGAUUUGUCCACAUUAAAAGAUAUAUUAUAAAAAUAUAUAUAUUGUUUUCAUUAUGUUUUCAAGACAAAAAUUCCCUUCGUAAGCUCCUUAAAUUAACAAUACCUUUAAAAAAAGUUUUUUUCUUUUUUUUGGAAGAAACCUUUAAGACUAUUGUUAGCAAGCCCGUAACCACUAAUAUUAAGAUUAACAAAGAUAUAAUAUCCAUUGAGCAACCACCUCCAACACGCGUAGUUUUCGUCUGAUAACCACAAAGGAAGGUGCUAAGAAAUUAAGUGGCAGUGGCAAUUCACAACGAAACUUCAUAAACCUCUCUAUAUAAGAUACGCUAUAUACCCACUCUCUUUCCCCCUCUCUCCCUCUGGGGUUUCAAAUAUGAACUUUGAAGAUUCAUAAUCACAAAGUUUUAUAUAUAGUACCUAUAAACUUUGAAUUCUAGAUCCUAGUUACAACAACCUAGACUUUCUCGACCUAGUUAUUAUACAUAGGUGACACUCACACAACAGAACUAGAUGCUAUUACAUCACAACUUCCACAAAACAUUCAAACAAGUUCAACAUGACCAUACAUCGUUGCAGUUUCUUAGGUCAACUCUCAAAGAUUUUUCUCCACUUGUUGAAGAUAUCAACCAAUAAAAUGAACAUUUAACUCAACUCAUUCGGGUGGUGUAUGCCCCUAGAGAUCUUUGCCUGUUGUAUCCAUUCUCGAAACGAGAAUGUAUAGAACGAUGGGUUGGUGUAUCCCUGCGUUGAAGCCAAACAUAUUGAAGGCCUGUUUAACCACUUGGUUGACGUUGUGGUCAACCUAAUUGGUUGCAAUAUUUCAACACAACGUUGCUAUUGUGGUGGUUGGUAAAGUUUACACCAUUGCAUUGGUUAUGGGCCAAAACAUUAACGUCGUGUCCCUUGUGAUUGUCGUUCGGCCUCUGAUUCAAAUGAACGAGGACAUGUUCGUCAAUCCUUAGGAUUUCGUUAUGAAAUUAAGGCUGCUGAACUUCACCUUGUUCCAGCAUACCAACACCCAUGAAUUGGUUUAAUGUAGCCAUUUGGUUGGCCAUAGCCAUAGAAGCAUGGUUUGUAUUCUUGAUCAACUAUGUGAUAACUGCCCCAUCUGUUGAGUGAAAUGUUCACCUUCUGAUGGUUGCUAUUUGUCCAUCUGUUGUCAAACAAUCGUCAUCGAAUCUUAUGUCAAUCUGACAUGAUUCUAUGGUAUAUUUGAAAAACCUAGGCCAAGUUACCCUGGCCAUAUGACAUGUCUGCCAACGAGUUAAUAAGACUCGGCAACAUUAAUUCUAAUGGUAGGCCUAAUAGGUCAGCAACUACUGGGCGUGACUACAUGAAAGUUAUGUCUGUGUCGCACCAUCUCCUACGUUAAAGCCUUACUAACAUCGUGCAUAAACUGAAAAUGUGCCUAUCAAACUGCAUAUCGUCCGCGUUGAAAGAAUCCACCUUGUCAGACGAAGGCGGUGGAUGAUGAGUCAACCGACGACAUGGGUAUCAACAUUGUCAAGUGUGACUACUAACAAGUCAGUUAUGGUAUUAGAAAUUCCAACACUUUGCGUAUUAAACUUUUUUUUUUUUAUUAGUUUUAGAGUUGUUAGAAGGUUCACAAGGUUUCUUAAACUUCUUAUAGGCAUGCAAACUUAUAAUAAUUGUCGAAAACAAUAUUUAAAAUACAUGUAGGUUACUUCAAACUUGUUCCACUACGUGUGCGUUUACAAAUAUUUUUUAUCUAAGGAAAAUCAACCAAAUUCAAAGCACAAAUAAAUCUAUAAUCACUGUGAUUAAGGGAGUCUAACAAGUUAUUAGGCGUAUACUAACACGUUUAAAGGUUGAUUUUGAAAAAUGUUGUUCAAUUGGAUUUAAGUUUUGUGUUCGAAAUUGUUUAAAAACGGUUUAACGGUUUAAAGUUAACUGCUGAUGAAGUAAAAGAUUUGAAGUGAAAAUGACAAUUAAAUUAAAAGAGUGUGAAAGCAAAAAGCUUUUAAGUUACAAGACUGGACUGUAAAUAGCGUGAAAAUUAUAAGUGUUGAGUUUGAACUUACUUGAAAUAUAAAGUGCGAGAAAAGCAAGAGGAAUUGAAAGACAAUGUUUUGAAGAUAAAUUUGUGGAAAUUGUAGAGUAUUUUGAAUUGAAAUAACAAGAACUUUAAAAAAUUUAAUAGAUGGUGAAAGGUAUGCUUAAAGUUCUGAAAUACUUGAGUUAGUUACGUGUAGAUUUUAAAAAAUUAACUAUAUGACCAUUUGUCUUUGUGAGAACUCAUAUUUAUAGGAAAAAAAACCAUUUGUUAUUUGUUGAGCUAUUCUUAACAAAUCAUGUCUUGUACGUCGACACACACUCCAAAUUUCGUUAUUAAUCGGUUGAUAAUCCACCUAAUUGAAGUCAUGAUAUAAGAUGUACUUAAAAUGUCACUUUCUCCAUGAUGUGCACUAAUAGUAUGAAUGCGUUGAGACUCGUCACUUUACUCAAACGUCUCUUGUAAUCCUGUUAAAAAAUUUGAAUUUAUGUUGACCCGCAAUCCUCUUACACAAAACUCGCAAUCCUCUUAGACAAAACUGAAAUUUCGCUAAGAACAUUAUUAUUGAUUGUCGCUCUAAAAUAUUUCAAAGGCUACGGGAUUACCAAACUACGCUUUCCUACCAAAGAAAUAAACAAAAAGCCUCGAGGACAAUCAAAGAUUAAGAUUUUGUAAUCUGAUAUCUGGAAUUUAAGAUUUCAAAUUGAUGAAGAUGCAGUUAAUAGAUUGGUACUUUGCUGAGGAAAAUAGAUUGGAAGGGAAAAGAAGUCUGUCCUAUAUCCUGGUCGAUGUUUGUCAGUUUGGCCUGAUUCAAAAGACACCAUUAGGAAUUUUCAAUUCCAGAUAUCAUGUUAUAAAAUUUUUGUGACUUCAGAGGUUAAAAAAUAAAACAUAGUUCAUAAUCAUAUCAUGCCUCUCAAAAAACUGUUCAUAUCAUUAUAAUCAGUUAUUUCAAAAAAAUCAUUAUAAUCAGUUGAAGAAAAAAAAAAACAUAACAAUUCGUAUAUUCCCAACCUUACAAAUAUAUUGUCCGAAAGAUUGCACAUGAUAUUGGCAACUCAGAAUUAAUUGUUUUGCCGAACAACUUUUCAUCAAAUUCACAUAAAAAAAUUGCACAUGAUUGGACCCUUUAAAGCAAUAUUACGAUAUGUUACUUGUUAGUUUGGUGCCAUUGAUAAACUUUUGAUUUUGAUUAAAUACAUGUUGUGGACCUUGUGAGUUAAUGCUCUUAGAGGAAGACCGUUGGAGCACAUUUGCAAGUGCUUUUAUAAUUUUUCAAUCUGCCCCUAUAUUCUUAGAGGUCCCCCAAUAUUCUUAGCAGUGUGCAUUUCAGCUAAAAUACAUUACCAUAAGUCUGCAUGUCCCAUAUUAUUUAGGGGAAAUGCUAGUGUUCCCCACAAAUUAUACCCCGAGAGAUCACGAUGUUAGUUAAUUAAUACCCCACCUCCACCUCUUCAAUCUUUAGCCAUCCAUGUUUUCCAAUUAAACCAAGAUCUAACGGUUUGAAUUAUUCUUAUACUUUCGUUGUGAAUAGCAUAUAUAGCUCUUUAUUUAGCGAAAAUGUCAACUUGAGUGUGAACGUUGAUUUCUCCAUUUAUGUGUGAGUUUCCAAUAACAAUUGUUAUUUGGUUUAUCUAAAAAAAAAAAAAGUUAUCGUAAAGACUCUUUCAAUAGCUACCAAGGGAUGGAUUAAAAAAUUAUUAUUAUUUUUUUUUUGCAAAGGUGAGGAUGGGCAAAGGUUAUUUCAACAAAUAUGGUUGGAUAAAACAAAAUUGGGAGUAAAGAACGGGACAAAAGUUUAAAUUAUCAGUUAUCCAUGAAACAUUGCAAGGAAAUACCAAGGAGUGUUCAAUGACUAAAGGGUUGAAGUUAGCAAGAUCUAGCUUUAUACAUGUCAAAAAUAUCAAAUAUUUUAAAAAUUAUUGUUAACGAGUGUUUUCAUAUAUUCUUUAAGCAUUUUAAAAGAAGAAAUUAUUUCAUAAAAAAAAGUUAAAUAUUUCAAUUUUAUUUACAUGGUUACAUAAAUUUUAAAAAAAGUUAGCAUUUAAAUAUCUUAAUUAAAAAUGCCCAGGACACUUGUUUUUCUUUGUUCUUUCACAACCCUAAACUAAACCCUCGUACAAGCUGUUCAUUAGACAAAUUUACAUAAGUUUGCUCUCCAAUACCCGGUCUUUGGCAUUGAUAAUAAAAUUUCCACUAAAGUCAAAGCGUAGAAUCAUGACAAGAACUUGUUGUGCAUUCAUAUACUACUACUUGUAUUUUGUUUUCCUUGAAACAUCAUAUAUCAGCACAAAUUCCUCGCAACUUCUUCAUAUUUAUAUAUAUAUUCCACACACACCAACCACAUAUUUCCCAUCUAUCUAUCUACUUGUUCACAAAUAUUAAAUAUCUUAUCUUAUUCUUAUUUCAAACCCAUAAAUUGCGGUGUAAUUUCCUUUACCCUACCAACACGUUACAACAAAUAAUAAUAAUAUUAAAACUAAUACUACCCGUUGAGUUGAUCAACUCCCAACACACGUUAAUGAUAACCACAAAGGUAGAUGAUGCAAGGAAAUUCAGCAUCUAGCUGCAAGUAACACCGAAACUUCAUAAAUAUAAGACUACAUAUACCUCUCCCCGGUUCUGAAAUUUGAAAUAAUAAUCUUCACCAUCUUACCUACAAAAUAAAAAUAUCUUUACCAUCAUUUCAUUUCAAUAUUUUACUAAUGGGACACAACAUAGAACUAGAUGCUAUUUCAUCACCACAGCUUCAACAAAAGAAUCUUUGUUGCAGCAAGUUUUUUUGUUGGUUUCACCUUUGUGUAUCUGGAUUUUUGCAUAAGAAGAAUUUUGGUUCUGAUUCUCAUGCUGUUGCUCAUGACAAGCCAAAAACAUUUUAUGAGUUCAAAGAAAUUCUUUUUUUUGAUAAGAAAAUAAGUGGAUAUGGAGUAUCCAUUUUUAAGGGUCCUUUUGGUGUUCCUGAAAAUCCUGAAUUUACUGUUGGUUUGGAUUCGCAAUUGAUUAAGCCGAAGAUGGAACUUCUCAGGGAUGGUAGAUCUACUCUUUUGUUGACUGGUUUAGGUGGAAUGGGAAAAACCACUUUGGCUACAAAGCUGUGUUUGGAUCAACAAGUUAAGGGUAAGUCAUAAUCCCUUUUAUUUAGGAAUUUUUCAUGUUCUUAUGCUAUUAUGCUUAUUAUAAAGAUUUGUUUAGUUAUAGUUAUCUAGAAAAGAUUGUUGAAAUUUGCUAACAUUGAAGAAUUUUCAGUUAUUAUCCUGUUUUGAAAGGCAUAUCAUAUAAGUGUUUAUGCAGAAGCUAAUUGUAUUAAAAAAAAGUUAAAAUAAACUCAAACUGUUUCUAUAUAAGUUAUAAGUUGUUUACAUAAGCCAUAUUGCAGAGUUUAUAAAGAUAAGCUGAAAACAACUUCAGCUUAUAGUCAUGUUUUCAAUAAGUUCUCCCAAAUAGUCGGUCACAAGUGCUUAUGCCAAACAUGGGCUGUUUUUGAUAAAUUUAUCAUAAAAUUUUGUUGUUGUUGUGAAAUUAAUACCGGUACACAAUCAUAUGUAUGCAUUAUUGUAGGAGAUAUGAAAUAUUAUGGGCUUAUUGUUUUCUUUUGAUUCUUUAGGCAAAUUCAAGGAAAACAUUAUAUUUGUAACCUUCUCAAAAACACCCAUGUUGAAGAUUAUGGUACAGAGACUAUUUGAACAUGGUGGAUAUCCGGUGCCUGAGUAUCAAAGUGACGAAGAAGCAGUUAAUGGAAUGGGAAAUUUACUGAGGAAAAUUGAGGGAAGUCCAAUAUUGUUAGUCCUGGAUGAUGUUUGGCCCGGCUCAGAAGACCUAGUCGAGAAAUUUAAAUUCCAGAUAUCAGAUUAUAAAAUUUUGGUCACUUCAAGGGUUGCAUUUUCUAGAUUUGACAAAACCUUUAUCGUAAAUCCUCUUGUUCACGAAGAUUCGGUGACCCUUUUCCGUCACUACACACAGUUGGGAAAAAACAAUUCAAAAAUUCCCGACAAAGAUCUUAUCCAAAAGGUGCUUGUUCUUCUUGUACUGACACCAUUUGAGCACCAAUGUUAUAUAAUCUGCUGAUUGCUGACUAUAUUUGUGUGCUUUGAAAUACAGAUUGUGGAAAAUUGCAAAGGUUUACCUCUUGCCAUUAAAGUGAUUGCAACAUCACUCACUAAUCGUUCAUAUGACUUGUGGGAAAAGAUUGUGAAGGAACUUUCUCAAGGUCGUUCUAUACUUGAUUCUAGUACUGAAUUACUUACUCGCCUCCGAAAGGUCUUGGAUGUUUUGGAAGAUAAUGCUAUUAACAAGGAGUGCUUCAUGGACCUUGCAUUAUUCCCUGAAGACCUGAGAAUUCCCGUUUCUGCUCUCAUUGAUAUGUGGGCGGAGUUGUAUAAACUAGAUGAUGAAGGCAUAGAAGCAAUGGCCAUCAUCAACAAAUUAGACUCUAUGAAUCUGGCUAAGGUCUCAAUAGCAAGGUAUAAUAUAACGACUACCAAAUAUAUCUAACAUGAAUUAUAUGGGGCAGAAAAUUUAAUAGCUCGAAGAGCUAUUCUAAGAAGCAUUGGAUUCCUAAAUUAACGUUAUAAACAGACCAUUUGUCUUGGAUUGAAUUUAAACUUUUCACAAAUUGUAACUUUGCAAUUUGCAUUGAUAAUUUUUAAUUCCAAGGGAAGAAGUCAAUAAUUGUAAUUAAACUAUCAAAUACAGAACAAGCUUUUUUAUCUAGUGUUUAGAGUUUUCUCUUCAAGGAAUACUAACUUUUGUUUGUUUCUCAGGAAAAAUGCAAGUGACACAGAAAGUUACUACUACAAUAGCCACUUCAUAUUCCUUCAUGAUCUUCUAAGAGAGCUAGGAAAUUAUCAAAACAACCAGGAACCAAUUGAACAAAGAAAAAGACUUCUUAUUGAUGCAAAUGAAAACACACAUGACCGGUGGCUUAUGGAGAAGCAGCAGGGCACAAUGACCCGCAUAUUGUCCAAUUUUUUUAAAUUGUGUGUUAAACCGAAGCCUCAACAGGUCCCUGCUCGCACAGUGUCUAUAUCAACUGGUUAGUUAUACUUUCACCUUUCUCUAAAUGUAUUCACUAACUUGCAAGUUAAAAAUAACAUCAACUCUAAAUAUAUCCACAAUUGAUUCCAUGUGUUGCGUUUUCAGAUGAAACUUGUGCUUCUUCAGAUUGGUCCCAAGUGCAGCCAGCUCAUGUUGAGGUUCUGAUUUUAAUUCUUCAAACCGAACAGUACACACUUCCAGAAUUGAAGGAGAAAAUGAGCAAACUAAGAGCUCUUAUAGUCAUAAAUCAUGGUUUACGCCCUUCUGUACUGAACAAUUUUGAGCUAAUUAGCUCUUUAUCCAACCUGAAAAGAAUCAGGCUAGAGCGGAUUUCUGUUCCUUCCUUUGGCACAAUGAAGAAUCUCAAAAAAUUAUCCCUCUACAUGUGUAAUACAAGACUAGCUUUUGAAAAGGGUAGCAUCCUAAUUUCAGAUUUGUUUCCUAAUUUAGAAGAUUUGAGCAUUGAUUAUUCCAAGGAUAUGGUGGCAUUGCCUAAUGGGGUGUGUGACAUUGCCUCAUUAAAAAAGCUCAGUAUUACUAAUUGCCAUAAGCUUUCUUCGCUGCCCCAAGAUAUUGGAAAGUUGAUGAAUUUGGAACUCUUGAGCCUGAUCUCAUGCACUGAUUUGGUAGAGUUGCCAGAUUCUAUUGGAAGGCUUUUAAAUCUAAGACUACUUGACAUCUCCAACUGCAUAAGCCUUUCAAGUUUACCUGAGGACUUCGGCAAUCUGUGUAAUCUAAGAAAUCUAUACAUGUCUAGUUGUACAAGUUGUGAAUUGCCAUUUUCAGUUGUCAAUCUUGCGAAUUUAAAGGUGAUAUGUGAUGAAGAGACGGCUGCUUCAUGGGAAUCUUUCCAAUCUAUGAUUUCCAAUCUCACUAUAGAGGUUCCUCAAGUUGAAGUCAACUUAAAUUGGCUUCAUGCAGGUCGCUCCUAAAAUUUGCAUGCGCUCUUCCUCUGCCUUUGCUAAUCUUUGUGGCAGUGUUCUUCAAAUGAAUGAAUACUUAUCAUGGGUAAUAGAGGUGGUUGUUGGUACCUCAGAAAUGGCUCCCAACGGAGGGGCUGAGUGGAUGCUAGCUCUUAGGUACAGCUCACAUCAACCAUCCGAACUGCUUCAUCAGGUGGUGACCUCUGGCCUUUCAACACUUGGGGGCUAGACAUUCUUUGGCCUUUCCACCUGCACCAGGUUUGUUAAUUCAUCAACCAUUCUUUGGUGAAUCAUCCACAAGCAAAUAAACAGGUUGGAUCAACUAACAAAAUCAUUUUCAAUGAAUGAAGAAAAUGAUUGGAUCAAGCAAAAGCAGAAUAGACAGAGGAGCUAAUAAGAGUAUUGUAGACAAAUCACAUUACACCCCAGUCAUCAACACAUAAAACACCUUUCAAACUUGUCUACAUAUUUCAUGCAAUGGUAUCAGUAUAACUCACAUCAGCUUCAAUCUGUGCGAAUUUAAUAAAUGAGUCCGCAUCGAGAUCAAACAGGAGAAUAGAUCUUGACUUACUCUACGAAGUCAGGGAACUAGUGUACAUAACUAAGUAUGUUUCAAAACUUAGGACUGCAAAUAGGUAUAACAGCAAAGUUAAAUCUAGAAAUUUCAAGGAAGGAGAUUAGUCUUACGGAAGACCGAGAAGGUAACGAAUAAAAAACACGGAAAGCUAGCGGCUAGUUGGAAAGGACCAUAUGGAUCAGCUCCGCUCUGUGCAAAAGAGCAUACAAGCUAGAAGGCCGAGCUAGAAACAUUUAUCUGAGAUUGUGGAAUGCCACACACCUCAAACUCUAUUUAUUUAGAUUUCUUGUAAUAUGAUGUACUCUUUUUCCUGCUUGGACCUUUUUUCUCGAAAAAGUUUUUGGUUCUUGGAGGUUUUAACUAGCACAUCUUUUUUUUUCCAUUUCAUUAUCAAUAAAGUCUUUGUUCAUUAUACUAUGAUCUCCAUUAAAAGAAAACACAUAAGCCUGAUGUGUUUCCGUCAAUGAGUCAAUUCAAUAUAUAAUAUAAGCUUGAACAGGCAAAUACAGUAUUUCUUUUAUUUAUCUCAGUAUAAAUAGCCUUACAACACAUGAACUUUACAUAGAAGAUUGCAUAAAAAGGAAUAUACAUGUACAAUUACAAGUCUUAUAUCAUCUAGGUGAAGAUGCAACAUCCAACAGGACAAACCCAUAUCCUACCCCAUGUACCAUCUCAGGAGUAAAAGAUGAGGCACAGUUUCACGUCAGCAAUCUGGUAUUAAUGUAAGGGAGGAACUCCUUUACAACUAGAAAAUGUAGUAUUCAAAUUUUCUUGAAAAUCAAUCAACCAAGGAGGCUCUCUUUUGGUAAACCAUAUUGUUCUCACAAAUCAGGGCAUAAAUGUUCACUGUUGGUCAAUAUAUUGGUUCUUAAACUCACCAUCAACGAGUGAUAAAAACAGUAUGUUUGACCAAUAACGAACAACCUCAGCCGAAUUUAAUAUACACGUCUCAAACUUUUGAAGAAUUAAAAUUUGGAGAAUGUUUCAAAGCUAGCGAGGGAAACAGAAAAUUGAUUCAUAGCAAAGGAAACAACUAUUUUAUAAGCCAAAACCAAAACAUAAAAGUUAAUGAAAAACAGUGUCUUCUUAAGGUUCUCGACCUUGUCCUUCAAAAACAACUUACUCGACUUUAACCUUUUCAUCUCGUAUUCCAAUAUUUUGAUCUCCCAUGUCAGACCUUCAAAUUUGACACCAACAUCUUCAAACACUUUUUCAACUUCCUUCCUUGACUUCUUCUCAUCCUCCAAAAGUUUUUCAAUUUCUUACUUGUCUUACAAGCAACAAUCAUUUUUCUUUUCGGCCAGCUUGUGCAACCUUUUUUGAAGGUUAUCUUUGCCAUUCCUCGCCAUGUCUAACCUAUACUCUCUCGCAUAGAUAUUUUAUUGUUAUUGUUGGGCAGCACAUAGAGCACGAAGGAGGUAAGAUGUGGAAACCACACACAGACAUUUUUUAGCCGAAAACUUUGUACAGUAUGUUGAUAAGACGCGACAGGGUGAUCUGCAACAGGACAGUUGAGUAAACCCCAUGUUACUGGCAGCUGCAAGCAUGACAUUCUUUGAAGAACACGACCAAUUGUUACCGGCAUUUGUUACCGAGGGGAAUUAUUUGGAAGCGGUUCCUCUAACGUUUUUGUGGGAACUCACAUUUGAGGGACAUAAUUUCUCCCUCUAUAUCAAUCAUUUAGAAAAUGAAUCCCAUUGAGAAAACACAGCCAACCUCAGCUGAAUUUAGCUUCCAUCAACAGCGGGUUAAUUAUGGACCAAAUUUAAAUGAGACGGGUCAACCUGCAUUGCCAUCUGUAUUUGAAAUUAGGGGUGUUCGUGGUGCAAUUUCAAUCGGUUUUGAGACAAAAACUCAUCUGAUCCAAAGUUAAAUUACCUGCGGUUCAGUUUUUGACGACUCGUUUAAAAAAUUGGAUCUGAAUUGAUCCAAUUUAAUGCAUAUUAUUUUGGAUUGGUUCUUGAAUAUGCAAAUUACAAAUUGUAAAUAAUAAGUUUGAUGCAAAAUAUAACACAUAAUAUGUUGAUGAAAAUUUUCGAUUAUAUUUCAAACAUAGAAAAUAGUAAAAAGUAUAAUAAAUUAAAUUGGGAUAUAGGUGGAAGAUUGGAGAUGGCUCCCAGAUCAAAGUUUGGUCCACAUCAUGGAUUCAUUCACUUUCUACUCUUCGACCCUCAACAACGCCACCUCCACAUCUGGAACAUUUAUUGGUUCGUGAUUUAAUAAAUCCUGAUUUGCAUACUUGGAAUAGUUCGCUCAUUAGUAACAUCUUUUCCAUCUCAGAAGCUUCGGUCAUUUGCAGACUGCCACUCCAUACGUGUAACCUGCAUGAUACUCGAGUUUGGCAAAUCGGCUUAUAACUUAUGCAUGUCUCUGAAAACUGACGCUAAUGUUUCCCCCACUGCAGCUGCGCAUAAUUGGAACAUUAUUUGGAUACAACAUGUGCCUCCUAGAGUAUGUUCCCUGUUAUGGAGAAUGGCUCAUUGUUGCCUUCCAACCCGCACUCGCUUGAUCCAGAAAGGUUUAUCUAUUGACGAUACUUGUGUUCAUUGCGAUGUCCUGGAUGAAUCCCACAUCUAGUCAUUCUUUGUGUGCCCAAAAGCAAUCAAUUGUUUGAACAAGUCCAAUUGGAUGGUAUUGUGCGAGAGUUACCACGUGAUGCUAUUGAUUUCAGAUCUCUUCUUUUUUAUUUCUUUAGCAGGUUACAAACACAUACCCAGGCAACAACAUCUAUUAUUCUAUGGAGUUUGUGGAAAAAUAGAAACUCUAAAUUAUGGCAAGCAGGGACACACCCUCCUCAUCAUUGAUCGUUCAGCGAGCGCAUAAUUCCCUUCAUGAAUGACCCUGUUUACAAAGAGCAAGACAAUCUAACCAAAAUAUUUCAGUUUAAAAUACAAUGUAGAUUGUGCCCUCUUCAACAACAAUACCAUCACAUGGCUCGUCAUCUGCUAUCGAGACUCUUCAGGGGCAUUACAUUAUGGAUCAUCUAACUACUCUUUAUAUACUUCUUCCCCUUCAGAAGCCGAGGCUCUAAGCCUUAACCUUCGCUGACAAUCAAGGCAUUGAGUCUGUCAUAUUUGAGUCUGAUUGUAAGCUAGUUCUUUUAUUCUAUUUGGCAAGUAUUUGGAAGUGUUGGCUAAAGGGAAAACAUCACAAGCUAUUGCGAAACUCAUGGAUUUAACACCUGAUACAGCAACCUUACUAACUCUUGAUGAUGAUAAGGGAAAUGUUAUAGGUGAAAGAGAAAUUGAUAGCAGGUUGAUACAGAAGAAUGAUGUGAUCAAAGUUGUGCCGGGCGCGAAAGUAGCAUCAGAUGGUUUUGUUGUUUGGGGACAAAGUCAUGUAAAUGAGAGUAUGAUAACUGGUGAGGCAAAGCCUGUUGCUAAGAUGAAGGGUGAUAUGGUGAUUGGUGGUACUGUGAAUGAAAAUGGUGUUUUGCAUGUUAAGGUAGCAAGGGUUGGAUCAGAAACUGCACUUUCCCAGAUUGUUAGACUUGUUGAGUCUGCUCAGAUGGCUAAAGCUCCUGUCCAGAAAUAUGCUGACCAGAUUUCUAAAUACUUUGUUCCUAUAGUAAGUGUAAAUUACUAAUACUAACUAGCUCCGUGAUUUUUACGAAAACUAAACUACUGAGCUUCAACAAAAUCACGGUGUCAAUACAAUUUUGUCAAAUUCACCGUGAUUUCAAACAUGUAUUAUGUGUUUAAACAUUUAAGUCAAAUAAUAGAAUUGUAUUUUACAUAUACUUACUGGUGCCUGUUUUUGUAGGUGAUUGUGUUAUCUCUUUCAACAUGGAUAUCAUGGUUUGUAGCUGGAAAAUUGCAUUCAUACCCAAAAUCAUGGAUACCAUCUUCUAUGAAUAAUUUCGAGCUUGCACUUCAGUUUGGAAUUUCAGUCAUGGUCAUAGCUUGUCCUUGUGCUCUAGGCCUCUACUCCUACAGCGGUCAUGGUUGGUACUGGAGUUGGUGCAACUCAAGGUGUGUUGAUCAAAGGUGGCCAAGCAUUAGAAAGUGCACACAAGGUGAAGGCAAUUGUUCAAAACAAGGAAAUAAUGGUUGGAAAUAAAAAACUGAUGUUAGAUCAUAACAUAGCUAUUUCAGUGGAAGCUGAAGAAAUACUAGCAGAAGCUGAAAACAUGGCUCAAACAGGAAUUUUGGUAUCAUUGGAUGGAGAAAUUGUUGGAGUUUUGGCUGUGUCUGAUCCACUGAAACCUGAUGCAAAAGAAGUUAUUUCUAUUCUUAAAUCCAUGAAAAUAAAGAGCAUAAUGGUGACAGGUGAUAAUUGGGGAACUGCAAAUUCUAUAGCUAGACAAGCUGGUAUUGAAACUGUCAUGGCAGAGGCUCAACCUGAAACUAAAGCUAUUAAAGUAAAAGAAUUGCAGGUACACACAAAAUUAUGGUCCCCAAUUACCAAAUUAUUGCUUCACUCCUUUAGGGUUUCCUCUCAUGGUUUUAAUACUUUGUUCAUUGUAGGACAUUUAUUCAAUUAUUAUAGUGUUUAUUGGUUUUAAUCUCUAAAAAAUUUUAUUUGGAUUGAGUCCGUGCAAAUUCAAUAACUGCUGUUUUUUAGUCUUUAACGUCAGCUUAUUGGGUCACAUAUGACGUCAGAGACUAAAACCAAUCGUGUUUAAUUUGUAAGGAUUGAAUCUGAACAAAAUAUUUAGCGGGACUAACCAAGUAAUUUGACUCAAAUAGUCAAUAAGCUCCUCUAGGACGAAUCAUUCAGGAAAACUCGAAUUUGAUUUUUGCUGGCAACAAUUUUUGGUCAGACUUUAUUUAUCCGAGUUCAAAAUAAUUUGCAAUAAUUGCAAAAACUAAAAUCAUAUUUAACCUUCAUUUUUUUUAUAUAUUAAAAUUGAACAAAAUUUACUUAGACUUCAAAUAAUUAAAAUUUGUAGGGACCAAAAAUAUAUUAACCCUAUAUAAUCUUUAGACAAUCAUGUGAUAGUUAUUUGACAUACUUGGUGGCAGAAUUCUGGAUACACAGUAGGAAUGGUAGGAGAUGGUAUAAAUGAUUCACCAGCACUAGUAGCAGCUGAUGUUGGAAUGGCAAUUGGUGCUGGAACAGACAUUGCUAUUGAAGCAGCUGACAUUGUUCUUAUGAAGAGUAACUUAGAGGAUAUAAUAAUUGCCAUUGACCUUGCAAAGAAAACUUUCUCACGUAUACGUCUAAAUUAUAUUUGGGCUUUAGGUUAUAAUAUUCUAGCCAUUCCUAUUGCUGCUGGCAUACUUUUUCCUUCUACUAAAUUUAGGUUACCACCUUGGAUUGCUGGAGCUGCAAUGGCUGCUUCUUCUAUCAGUGUUGUUUGCUCUUCUCUCUUGUUGAAGAAAUACAAGAAACCAACCAAGCUUAACAACUUGGAGAUGAAUGGUAUUCAGAUUGAAUAAUCAACUUGUCAAUUGUAUAUUUGUAACUAUAAUAACUAGGCUUGUUUAUUGGGAGCAACAUUUUGUUAUGUUGCAAUUGUAAUUUCAAUGUAAAUUAAAAAGUAAGUAAUUAUUUUUCUUAAAAAAAGUAAUUA
Molecule: long non-coding RNA, 17351 nt
Filed under: Medicago truncatula (barrel medic)
Lineage: Eukaryota; Viridiplantae; Streptophyta; Magnoliopsida; Fabales; Fabaceae
Description: long non-coding RNA (MTRU_LNC006498)
Source: RNAcentral